AUUUUCAACCGCCAAUUAUCCAGUUCCUUCUCAAAACCACACUACUAGCCAUGAAGGAGUCUCCGAACCUCAAACCUCUCCAUCACCAUCACUCUCUCCUCCUCUCCUUAAUCCAUUCCCUCCACAUGGCCACGUGUCUCCCCUUCCGCUCCAUCCCCUUCAAACCCAACACCACCUCCUCCUCCUCCCGCCCCGCUAAAAUCACCUGCUCCUCCGUCACCGCCCAAUCCCGCCUCGCCAAGCAAGACCUCCUCGCCCUCAUCGCCGACCAGGACCGCGGCCUCAAGACCCAGACCGACCCCACCAAACGCGCCUCCAUCAUCAAGGCCAUCGACGCCCUGGCCGAUCUCGGCAACGGUACCGUCACCACCGGCGGCGACCUCUCCGCCACGUGGAGGCUGCUGUGGACGACGGAGAAGGAGCAGCUCUUCAUCAUCCAGAACGCGUCCGUGUUCGGCACGCGCGCCGGCGACGUUUUGCAGGUCAUCGAUGUUGACCGGAAGGUCCUCAACAAUGUCAUCACUUUCCCUCCCGAUGGAGUCUUCUUUGUUCGCUCCACCAUCGAAGUCGCUUCGCCGCAGAGAGUGAAUUUUAGGUUUACGAGUGCGGUUCUAAGAGGGAAGAGCUGGGAGUUUCCAUUGCCGCCGUUCGGCCAGGGCUGGUUUGAGUCUGUGUACCUUGAUGAUGAGAUUCGAGUUGCAAAGGAUAUCAGAGGAGACUAUUUGGUUGUAGACCGUGCUCCCUAUACUUGGAAAGAAUGAAGAUGAGGAAGUUUGCUAGACUUCUGUUGGUGGGAUACCAAUUAAUUUCUCAUUCGCUAGUUUUAUGGUGCGGCUUGGAGUUCCUUUGGAAAAGAUGUGGGCUUCCUUUUUAAUUGGAGAUAUAGUGUUAGAGGACUUUUAUGGGCAUCCAUUUUACUGAAAUGGGUCUGCUUAUUCCUCUAGGCAACAUCUUUGACAAGUGCUGGAAACCUGACUGUAGAGCCUUCUUAAGUGGUUUGAAACUGUAUACCUUGAUGACGAGAUUCGGGUUGUGAAGGAUAUCAGAGAAGACUAUUUGGUUGUAGACCGUGCUCCCUAUGCUUGGACAGAAUGAAGACGAUAAUGUUCGCCACUGACUUCAAUGUUACUCUUAGAUGGACGUAAUUGGUUGAUCUAGAUCCCAUUAUCUGCGCAUUUGAAUCUGUAUGUCAAGAUGAUGAUCUUAGAGUUGAAAAGAAAAUUUGUGGAGAUUCCUUGGUCAGAAGUCACACUGCCACCCAGUAAAAGUGAAGAGAUGAUAUAAGAGGAAUGAAGGAUAUAUGGACUGGAAUUGGAAGCAGAGAUCAGAAAAGCAUAUAAAGUGGAGAUCUUUGUGUCAUUAAGCACCAAGUAGUAAGCGUGCAAAUAUUGGUUCCCAUGGCUUUGGGUCAUCAAUUAUUCACCUGCUAAUGGCUUCAGAUUUGCUUUUUCCUGUUUAUGAUUUCCCAAUUCGUCUUUGGUAGCACUAGUUGUAAAAGAACAUUUACCCCACAUGCUUCAAUCAGAGUUCAAUCUUUCCAUUUCCC
Molecule: RNA transcript, 1546 nt
Organism: Rosa rugosa (rugosa rose)
Lineage: Eukaryota; Viridiplantae; Streptophyta; Magnoliopsida; Rosales; Rosaceae
Gene name: probable plastid-lipid-associated protein 11, chloroplastic
Exons: 7
Source: RefSeq, a predicted model, not a curated record